UAACCGCAUCAGGUCUCCAAGGUUUGUAGCCUCUGGUCGAUAGAGCAAAGUAGGUAAGGGAAGUCGGCAAAGUAGAUCCGUAACUUCGGGAAAAGGAUUGGCUCUGAGGGUUGGGUCUAGGGGUUUGCGUUUUGAAGCCUUGGGCGUUACGAGGACUACCUCACGGUGGGCCUCGUUGGUCCCUCGGUCGAUGGGCGCAAAAGACCUAGGCGACGAACAACCGACUCAGAACUGGUACGGACAAGGGGAAUCCGACUGUUUAAUUAAAACAAAGCAAAGUGAUGGUCGUAAA
RNAcentral lists this ribosomal RNA (292 nucleotides) under Ostreococcus mediterraneus. RNAcentral describes it as "partial Eukaryotic large subunit ribosomal RNA". It matches the Rfam family "Eukaryotic large subunit ribosomal RNA", at positions 1851 to 2174 of the family's 3401-position model. The record is from RNAcentral. Lineage: Eukaryota; Viridiplantae; Chlorophyta; Mamiellophyceae; Mamiellales; Bathycoccaceae.